CGGCGCACGGGUGCGUAACGCGUAUGCAAUCUACCUUUCACAGAGGGAUAGCCCAGAGAAAUUUGGAUUAAUACCUCAUAGUAUAGUACCUUGGCAUCAAGGAACUAUUAAAGUCACAACGGUGAAAGAUGAGCAUGCGUCCCAUUAGCUAGUUGGUAAGGUAACGGCUUACCAAGGCAACGAUGGGUAGGGGUCCUGAGAGGGAGAUCCCCCACACUGGUACUGAGACACGGACCAGACUCCUACGGGAGGCAGCAGUGAGGAAUAUUGGACAAUGGGCGCAAGCCUGAUCCAGCCAUGCCGCGUGCAGGAUGACGGUCCUAUGGAUUGUAAACUGCUUUUAUACGAGAAGAAACACUCCGACGUGUCGGAGCUUGACGGUAUCGUAAGAAUAAGGAUCGGCUAACUCCGUGCCAGCAGCCGCGGUAAUACGGAGGAUCCAAGCGUUAUCCGGAAUCAUUGGGUUUAAAGGGUCCGUAGGCGGUCAGAUAAGUCAGUGGUGAAAGCCCAUCGCUCAACGGUGGAACGGCCAUUGAUAC
This 539-nucleotide ribosomal RNA is filed under the name uncultured Flavobacterium sp. RNAcentral describes it as "bacterial SSU rRNA". It matches the Rfam family "Bacterial small subunit ribosomal RNA", at positions 96 to 633 of the family's 1533-position model. The record is from RNAcentral. Lineage: Bacteria; Pseudomonadati; Bacteroidota; Flavobacteriia; Flavobacteriales; Flavobacteriaceae.